GGAGAGGUGGCUGAGUGGUCGAAAGCGGCGGUCUUGAAAACCGUUGAGCCGAAAGGUUCCCAGAGUUCGAAUCUCUGCCUCUCCGCCA
RNAcentral lists this transfer RNA (88 nucleotides) under Candidatus Omnitrophota bacterium. RNAcentral describes it as "tRNA-Ser". It matches the Rfam family "tRNA". From Rfam's summary of the family: Transfer RNA (tRNA) molecules are approximately 80 nucleotides in length. The record is from RNAcentral. Lineage: Bacteria; Pseudomonadati; Candidatus Omnitrophota.